This 434-nucleotide ribosomal RNA is filed under the name uncultured bacterium. Its description in RNAcentral is "partial 16S ribosomal RNA". It matches the Rfam family "Bacterial small subunit ribosomal RNA", at positions 29 to 507 of the family's 1533-position model. The record is from RNAcentral.
AGCGAACGCUGGCGGCAGGCCUAACACAUGCAAGUCGAACGAACCUUUCGGGGUUAGUGGCGGACGGGUGAGUAACACGUGGGAACGUGCCUUUAGGUUCGGAAUAACUCAGGGAAACUUGUGCUAAUACCGAAUGUGCCCUUCGGGGGAAAGAUUUAUCGCCUUUAGAGCGGCCCGCGUCUGAUUAGCUAGUUGGUUGAGGUAAUGGCUCACCAAGGCGACGAUCAGUAGCUGGUCUGAGAGGAUGAUCAGCCACAUUGGGACUGAGACACGGCCCAAACUCCUACGGGAAGCAGCAGUGGGGAAUCUUGCGCAAUGGGCGAAAGCCUGACGCAGCCAUGCCGCGUGAAUGAUGAAGGUCUUAGGAUUGUAAAAUUCUUUCACCGGGGACGAUAAUGACGGUACCCGGAGAAGAAGCCCCGGCUAACUUCGUC